This 23-nucleotide microRNA is filed under the name Pongo pygmaeus (Bornean orangutan). RNAcentral's name for it is "ppy-miR-1255a". The record is from miRBase by way of RNAcentral. Lineage: Eukaryota; Metazoa; Chordata; Mammalia; Primates; Hominidae.
AGGAUGAGCAAAGAAAGAUUUUU